This 433-nucleotide ribosomal RNA is filed under the name uncultured bacterium. Its description in RNAcentral is "partial 16S ribosomal RNA". It matches the Rfam family "Bacterial small subunit ribosomal RNA", at positions 29 to 507 of the family's 1533-position model. The record is from RNAcentral.
AACGAACGCUGGCGGCAUGCCUAACACAUGCAAGUCGAACGAGAACUUCGGGUCUAGUUGCGCACGGGUGCGUGACGGGUGGGAACCUGCCCUUAGGUUCGGAAUAACUCCCCGAAAGGGGUGCUAAUACCGGAUAAUGUCUUCGGACCAAGGAUUUAUCGCCUUUGGAUGGGCCCGCGUUGGAUUAGCUAGUUGGUAGGGUAAAAGCCUACCAAGGCGACGAUCCAUAGCUGGGCUGAGAGGAGGAUCAGCCACACUGGGACUGAGACACGGCCCAGACUCCUACGGGAGGCAGCAGUGGGGAAUAUUGGACAAUGGGCGAAAGCCUGAUCCAGCAAUGCCGCGUGAGUGAUGAAGGCCUUAGUGUUGUAAAGCUCUUUUACCCGGGAUGAUAAUGACAGUACCGGGAGAAGAAGCGCCGGCUAACUCCGUG